GCGGGUGUAGCUCAAUCGGACAGAGCGGCAGUUUCCUAAACUGUAGGUUGCUGGUUCGAUCCCAGUCUCCCGCACCA
This 77-nucleotide transfer RNA is filed under the name Prevotella sp. RNAcentral's name for it is "tRNA-Arg". It matches the Rfam family "tRNA". From Rfam's summary of the family: Transfer RNA (tRNA) molecules are approximately 80 nucleotides in length. Their secondary structure includes four short double-helical elements and three loops (D, anti-codon, and T loops). Further hydrogen bonds mediate the characteristic L-shaped molecular structure. tRNAs have two regions of fundamental functional importance: the anti-codon, which is responsible for specific mRNA codon recognition, and the 3' end, to which the tRNAs corresponding amino acid is attached (by aminoacyl-tRNA synthetases). tRNAs cope with the degeneracy of the genetic code in two manners: having more than one tRNA (with a specific anti-codon) for a particular amino acid; and 'wobble' base-pairing, i.e. permitting non-standard base-pairing at the 3rd anti-codon position. Lineage: Bacteria; Pseudomonadati; Bacteroidota; Bacteroidia; Bacteroidales; Prevotellaceae. The record is from RNAcentral.